UCAACCAUCAAGCCUGGCUUGUUGUUGGACUUUGCUACUGAAACAUGUGGCACGCCCGAAAAAUAAUGACGGUGUCAUGUUUGACCCUAGAUGCAACGAGCUUUUUAUAGCACGCAUUGAAGUGGUCGACUGAACUGGUCUUUAACCAUCAAUUUCUAA
This 159-nucleotide unclassified non-coding RNA is filed under the name uncultured Ascomycota. RNAcentral describes it as "sequence contains ITS2". Lineage: Eukaryota; Fungi; Ascomycota. The record is from RNAcentral.